Molecule: long non-coding RNA, 1343 nt
Organism: Mesocricetus auratus (golden hamster)
Lineage: Eukaryota; Metazoa; Chordata; Mammalia; Rodentia; Cricetidae
Exons: 2
Source: RefSeq, a predicted model, not a curated record
CGGGGCCCGCGCGCGCAGGGUGCAGGGUGCGUUGAGCCAGUCUCUCGCUUGCAACGAAAGGCGGCAGCGACAAAAGGAGCCCAGUGGUUUUACUCUCCUCCUUCCAGCUCUGGGUCCUUCCUCUUGAGAGAGCCUGACCAUGCCAGCCUGCAGCUAGGGGGCUAAGACUCCUAAAAGGCCCAGGGUGCAGACCAGACUGCACACAGCACACCCGCUCCGUGCGUCGUGGAUAGUCACGCAGUUCGCACACAGCUCAUUCGUACCCGCUGGGAAAACUACUAGCCCUGUUCGCACCAAGAGGGGUCAGAGGUCAUGGGUGGCCCAGGAGGCCGAGGUCAAGGGCAGCCGGACAGAGCUCGGUGGGAAAGGGGCUCCUAACCCAGGGGCCACGCACGAACCGCAGAGCUCAGGGAAGCUUGGUGGAGGCUGGAAGUUGCUUUUCCCUGCAGGGUGGGCACGCGGCCUAAGGCAUCCGGGGCCAAGUUUGGCAGGGUCCCGGAGCUGAAAGCGCCAGGCUUCGGAAAACUAUCGUAAAUCCUACCCGCGUUGGGCUCAUGUUUUUAAGAGUUCAGCUCUGGAAGCCGCGAGGCAGAGCCAGGCAGGAUCCAAUCCUGGAGAGGCAGCCCGAACGGCCUGGUGAUCAAGAAGGGACCUUGAGCCAGCCUGCCGGACGCCCCUUUCGCGGGCCCUCGGUAAACGAGGGGGCGGCAGGGAUGAGCGAUUCGUAUCCUCUGCGCACAGCGCUCACCGCUUCGCUGUAGCCGGGCCACGGCCAGGUCUGUUGAAGCCGCGUUUCCAUGGCUGCGGUGCAGCCGGUUCCCACCUGCUGGCUGCAAGGGCCGAAGCCCCCAGCCCGGACUCGUAGCGGAUGGCGCCGGCCACCGAGCUAGGAGGGCGCGCGGGCUGCUCUGAGACGCGGUGGCGGUGGUGCGGACGACCGGAGUUCGCGGGUUUCGGUAGGGACCGGCCCGCGCGGCUCACUGCUCGCAGAGCCCCAGGCUCGGCCCAAGGCGGAGCGAAAGAGAAAUGCAGCUCGGAACUGGCCCUUUAAGAAAACAUUCCGUGCUCGUCGCUCCCGCCCGGGGCCCGCACCCUGGACACUUUAAAAGGACCCAGGUAGCCCUGAAGGCGAGGUGACCGUCCCCCCCGCCCUGCCCCGCGCAGCGCUGCGGCUCCUGCCCAAGUCGGGCCGAGGAGGAGACUGGCCGCUGCGGUUUUCUGCGCGACUUCCUCGGAUUUAACCCCCCACCACAAAUGCGCUGAUAGUUCGGACGCGGGUUCGGGCUGGUUUUGCUGCGUUUUAUUGCGUUUUAUUACUAAUUAAAAAGCUUUCGUUCGCCGUC